Molecule: long non-coding RNA, 636 nt
Filed under: Sinocyclocheilus anshuiensis
Lineage: Eukaryota; Metazoa; Chordata; Actinopteri; Cypriniformes; Cyprinidae
Description: lncRNA (ENSSANG00000005949.1)
Source: RNAcentral
UCCAUGUUUUAAACUUUUUGAGCAGGCAAUGUGUUGAAAUACAUUAUCGGGCUGGUGUUUGUCAGUUGUUCACCUGAUUAAGCUAUAAAUGUAACGAAUCAGGCACGUGCUCACAUGGACAUCAAAGUGCCCUUUUUUCUGGGGAGUGUUGUUGUUUUUUUGGUUUGUUUUAAAUAAAUGAAUACAUCUAUAUAUGUGCGCGUGUGUGUCACAGCUUUCCCUGUCAAACAAAUAAAACAUCUGAAUAUCAGCUGGGGUCGGGAAUGUUGAGGCUUUCUCCCUCCGUGUCUCGCGCUGCUCAGCAGUAGCAGCACUGAUCGGCGCAUGCGCAGCACAGAAGUGAAGCCCUCCUCUCUUCCCAGCUGUGGAGGAGCCGGACUGUGAAUCUCUGAGAGGAAGAGGAGGAGGAGGAGGAGGAGGAGGAGAGCGUCGAUGACAUCAACGAGCGCAAGAGUCUCCGGAGGCUUCUGGAAAUGGAGGAUUCUGCCUGAUCACGGAACAUGAUGCUCGAGUCUCCCGAACGACUUCAGCCGCAGCUUCGCGCAGGAAUACUGGCUCAGACCGCUGAGGAUUAUGAAAACCAGGACAUGAAGCUCAAACACAUCUAGAAAAAAAGAGAAACGAGUGCGUGUGUCU